GCGGGCGUGGCGAAACUGGUAGACGCGCUAGACUUAGGAUCUAGUGCCGAAAGGCUUGGGGGUUCGAGUCCCUUCGUCCGCA
RNAcentral lists this transfer RNA (82 nucleotides) under Odoribacteraceae bacterium. RNAcentral's name for it is "tRNA-Leu". It matches the Rfam family "tRNA". From Rfam's summary of the family: Transfer RNA (tRNA) molecules are approximately 80 nucleotides in length. Their secondary structure includes four short double-helical elements and three loops (D, anti-codon, and T loops). Further hydrogen bonds mediate the characteristic L-shaped molecular structure. tRNAs have two regions of fundamental functional importance: the anti-codon, which is responsible for specific mRNA codon recognition, and the 3' end, to which the tRNAs corresponding amino acid is attached (by aminoacyl-tRNA synthetases). tRNAs cope with the degeneracy of the genetic code in two manners: having more than one tRNA (with a specific anti-codon) for a particular amino acid; and 'wobble' base-pairing, i.e. permitting non-standard base-pairing at the 3rd anti-codon position. The record is from RNAcentral. Lineage: Bacteria; Pseudomonadati; Bacteroidota; Bacteroidia; Bacteroidales; Odoribacteraceae.